RNAcentral lists this ribosomal RNA (254 nucleotides) under uncultured bacterium. Its description in RNAcentral is "partial 16S ribosomal RNA". It matches the Rfam family "Bacterial small subunit ribosomal RNA", at positions 524 to 776 of the family's 1533-position model. The record is from RNAcentral.
UACGGGGGGGGCAAGCGUUGUUCGGAUUUACUGGGCGUAAAGGGCGCGUAGGCGGCCAGCACAAGUCAGUUGUGAAAUCUCCGGGCUUAACUCGGAAAGGUCAACUGAUACUGUGCGGCUAGAGUGCAGAAGGGGCAACUGGAAUUCUCGGUGUAGCGGUGAAAUGCGUAGAUAUCGAGAGGAACACCUGCGGCGAAGGCGGGUUGCUGGGCUGACACUGACGCUGAUGCGCGAAAGCCAGGGGAGCGAACGGG